UCCGAGUUGACCCCGGCAGUCUCCUAUGAGUCCCCACCAUCACGUGCUGGCAACAUAGGACAAGGGUUGCGCUCGUUGCGGGACUUAACCCAACAUCUCACGACACGAGCGCAACCCUUGUCCUUAGUUGCCAUCAGGUUAUGCUGGGAACUCUAAGGAGACUGCCGGUGACAAACCGGAGGAAGGUGGGGAUGACGUUCGUCUGAC
Molecule: unclassified non-coding RNA, 207 nt
Filed under: uncultured Actinomycetes bacterium
Lineage: Bacteria; Bacillati; Actinomycetota; Actinomycetes
Description: uncultured actinobacterium contains 16S-23S intergenic spacer region
Rfam family: Bacterial small subunit ribosomal RNA (bases 71-195)
Source: RNAcentral